Mesocricetus auratus (golden hamster) is the source of this 297-nucleotide unclassified non-coding RNA. It matches the Rfam family "Metazoan signal recognition particle RNA". Rfam says of the family: The signal recognition particle (SRP) is a universally conserved ribonucleoprotein. It is involved in the co-translational targeting of proteins to membranes. NCBI's taxonomy places the organism in Eukaryota, Metazoa, Chordata, Mammalia, Rodentia, Cricetidae. The record is from Ensembl.
GUUCAAUGUGGUGGAGCAUGCCUGUAAACCCAGCUACUCAGGAGACUGAGACAGGAGCAGGAGGAUGUCUGGAGUCCAGAAGUUCUGUACUGUAGUGCACUAGGCCCAUCAAGCGUCCUCACUAAGUUUGGAAUCAGUAUGGUGACCUCCCAAAAGCAGGGAGUUACCAAAUUGCCUAUGGAGGAGUGGCCUAGCCCAAGUCAGAAGCAGAACAUGUCAGAACUCCUGUGUUAUCAGGAGUGGGAUCAUGCCUGUGAAUAGCCACUGCUGUAUAGUACCAUGGUCCUCUGCAUCUGG